RNAcentral lists this ribosomal RNA (229 nucleotides) under uncultured bacterium. RNAcentral's name for it is "partial 16S ribosomal RNA". It matches the Rfam family "Bacterial small subunit ribosomal RNA", at positions 118 to 348 of the family's 1533-position model. The record is from RNAcentral.
UGAGCAAUCUGCCCUUCACAUCGGAAUAACCAUUGGAAACGAUGGCUAAUACCGAAUAUGACUUCGGAUCGCAUGAUCUGAAGUGGAAAGCUCCGGCGGUGAAGGAUGAGCUCGCGGCCUAUCAGCUUGUUGGUGAGGUAACGGCCCACAAGGCGACGACGGGUAGCCGGCCUGAGAGGGCGACCGGCCACACUGGAACUGAGAUACGGUCCAGACCUCUACGGGGAGG